GACAGAGGGUGCAAACGUUGUUCGGAAUUACUGGGCGUAAAGCGCGUGUAGGCGGCUCGGAAAGUCGGGUGUGAAAGCCCUGGGCUCAACCUAGGAAGUGCACUCGAAACUUCCGAGCUGGAGUUCUGGAGAGGAAGGCGGAAUUCUCGGUGUAGAGGUGAAAUUCGUAGAUAUCGAGAGGAACACCGGUGGCGAAGGCGGCCUUCUGGACAGCAACUGACACUGAGGAACGAAAGCCAGGGGAGCAAACGGG
This 253-nucleotide ribosomal RNA is filed under the name uncultured bacterium. RNAcentral describes it as "partial 16S ribosomal RNA". It matches the Rfam family "Bacterial small subunit ribosomal RNA", at positions 524 to 776 of the family's 1533-position model. The record is from RNAcentral.